Dioscorea cayenensis subsp. rotundata (Guinea yam) is the source of this 798-nucleotide long non-coding RNA. RefSeq lists it as uncharacterized. The record is from RefSeq and is a predicted model, not a curated record. NCBI's taxonomy places the organism in Eukaryota, Viridiplantae, Streptophyta, Magnoliopsida, Dioscoreales, Dioscoreaceae. The transcript has 3 exons.
UUAACUUGAGAAAGGAAACAUCUUUGGCUUCUAUCCCUAAUCUCCUUUCCGGUCCCAAUCUCACCAACCACCGUCUAAUCCGGUUUGCCACCGCCUUUCUUUCUCUUCUCCGGUCCGCCGUUGUUCAUCUUUCUUCGGUCCACUGCAACGCUCCUUGCUACUCUGGUCCGCCGCUGCCCUUCUUUUGGCUUCUCUGGUCCGCCACCGUUCGUCUAUCACCGGUCCGUCACCAUUCGUUUAUCACCGGUCAGCAGCAGUUCCCCUUUCUACGAUCUGCCGCCUCACUCCUUCGUCCAUCUUCGCUUUUACAAGGAAUAGGAGUUUGAGGAGAUUUAGGAUUUUUAUUAUCCUAUAUGUUGCAGGAGGUGGCUUGUGUUUUUCCAUGAAAAGUGUCUGAGAGAGUGAGUUAACAAAUCAUACUAUUAGUUGGUCUGGUUACGGUUGUGAAGGAUUUCAUCUAUACAAGUACUUGUCCCUUCCCUGAAGAAGUGGUUCUGCCAAAUUUACAAUAAGUUGAAUCUUAUUCAAAGUUCAAUUGAUAUAUAUAUAUAUAUAUAUGUAUGUAUCUUAUUUUGAGUGUUUUAUCUAUAGUUUGAAUCUGAGCAGGAUUUGAUUUGGUUCUUUUAGUUUUAGUGAGAUUUUAUUUAUGUAGUCUAUAUAAAAUGAAAAUGUGAGAGAUCAACCAUCAAUCAUUGGGAUUUGGAAGGAAACAUAUAAAGUUGUAUUAACUGUAAAUUCCCUUUAUAAGAUUAGAUGUUGUUGCAUCUUUGGACUGAAAUAAAAAAAUUUAUUAUCAUA